CUCUACAGAGAUCAUAUGUAUUACAUGAGAAAGAAGGGCACUAGGCCUGUGUAUGUUUCGGAGGCGAUAUGGAGUGCAUGGACGGCCACCUGAGCUACAGAAAGGUGGCAAGCUAAUGCCGAAAAGGCAAAAGCAAAUAGGAAUACAGAGCCAGGUGGCCCGAGCACCGGAACCGCUCGGCAUACGUCAAGAUCCAGAUCUAUUGUUAAGCAUACCAUUGAUCUGGAACGUGAGCUUGCCCGACAGCCUACAUGUAUGGAGAUUUUUCUGAAGACCCACAAGAAGAAGAAUGGGUCAUUUGUUGAUUCUCGAUCUCAAACUCUACAUCAAGAAAUGACAGAACGGGUGGCUCAGGCAUCUCAGCCAUCAGCAGAGGGUGGAGAGUCACAGUCUUUAUCCACCGACGAUCUAAAUGAGAUAUAUUAUGAUGUUGUCGGUGGAAGGACAAAAAACUCCACCCUCUACGGCCUU
Zingiber officinale is the source of this 471-nucleotide long non-coding RNA. RefSeq lists it as uncharacterized. The record is from RefSeq and is a predicted model, not a curated record. The transcript is spliced from 3 exons. NCBI's taxonomy places the organism in Eukaryota, Viridiplantae, Streptophyta, Magnoliopsida, Zingiberales, Zingiberaceae.